This 1388-nucleotide long non-coding RNA is filed under the name Nicotiana benthamiana. RNAcentral's name for it is "long non-coding RNA (NBEN_LNC023336)". The record is from RNAcentral. Lineage: Eukaryota; Viridiplantae; Streptophyta; Magnoliopsida; Solanales; Solanaceae.
AUGGACCCGCUGAUUCGAUCCAAAGUGAUGAUGGUAGUAAAGAUUACAAAGAAAUUAAUCAAGUGGUGGAAAAUGUUUUCAUCGUUAGAACAUCAUGAGUUAAUGCAUAAAUUGGGCAUCUCUCACUUCCCUUCCUGAUAUCACACCCCGCCCAGACUUAGUGGAGGCGAUGAUGACUUAUUGGGAUCCGCAAAAUUUGACUUUUAAAUUUGGAAGAGUGUGAGAUGACUCCUACCUUGGCGGAAAUGUCUGGUCUCACUCGUUUAAGCUAUAUAGGUAGGGACAUGAUACUUCCCCGAGACCACUCUAGGACAAGAUUCCUCAGUGACCUGGGCCUGAAAUAUAACAAGCGUUUAAAAUGGCUCGAGCAGUCCUGGAUAUCCUUGGAUUAUUUGUUUGCUAGGUUUGGACCACGGGAUAGUUUUGACGUCUUUUGGGAUGAGUUCUGCGCAACCAAAGAAAAAUGGCAAAGAUGCCGCCUUGAGGCUUUCAGCCUUGCUUUGAUGGGAUUGUUGGUUUUUCAAUUAGAUGAGAGGCACAUUAGCACCCGCCUGCAGUUAGUGGUAAUGGAACUAUUUCAUGAGAAGCAACAUAAAACCGUUACCGUUGUACAUAUGAUCUUAGCAGAGUUGUACCGAUAACCAUUCUAGGACAAUAUUCCUCAGUGAUCUGGGCCUGAAAUAUAACAAGCAUUUAAAGUGCCUCGAGCAGUCCUGGGUAUCCUUGGAUUUUUUUUUGCUUGAUUUGGACCACGGGAUAGUUUUGACGUCUUUUGGGAUGAGUUUUGCACAACCAAGAAAAAAUGGAAAAGACGCCGCCUUGAAGCGUUCAACCUUGCUUUGUUGGGAUUAUUGGUUUUACAUUAGCACCCACCUGCAGUCAGUGGUAAUGGAACUAAUUCAUGAGAAGCAGCAUAAGACCAUUACCUGUACAGAUGAUCUUAGCAGAGUUGUACCGAGCCCUGAGUGAGGUUAGGGGAGGUGUCAGAUAUUUUGAGGGAAGUAACCUUUUGCUACAAUUGUAGAUGAUGGAGCAUUUGCACACUGCUUCCUUACUUUGUCCCAUCGACCGUGAUUUGAGGGAUCGGGUGGUGUGCAUCAAUCGUAGGAUGAAGUCUCCUAAGUUUACAUACCCAGUAUGCGUCACAUCUUGGAUUGAGUUCCUUGGUUUGAGGACAAAUGGGAAUGUUUUGUGGGCUUACCUUUGGCUACCUUUAGAUGAGAUCUUGGUAGGAUGUCUCGUGCAGCCUUUCUUGAUACUGAUAGGACUCAAGUGUGUCAGGUUGUACACUCCUAUUAGGGUAAUGCGACAGUUAGGCAGAAGACAAGAGGAGCCUCCAACUUUGAAUCUUCGAAGGCACGUCAUGAACUUUAGCAAAAAUGCAGCUG